CCUACGGGAGGCAGCAGUGGGGAAUAUUGCACAAUGGGGGAAACCCUGAUGCAGCGACGCCGCGUGAGUGAAGAAGUCUUUCGGUAUGUAAAGCUCUAUCAGCAGGGAAGAAAAUGACGGUAGUUGCUUAUGAAUCCCCGGCUACCUACGUGCCAGCAGCCGCGGUAAUACGUAGGGGGCAAGCGUUAUCCGGAUUUACUGGGUGUAAAGGGAGCGUAGACGGUGAUGCAAGUCAGAAGUGAAAGCCCAGGGCUCAACUCCGGGACUGCUUUUGAAACUGUGUGACUGGAGUGCAGGAGAGGCAAGCGGAAUUCCGGGUGUAGCGGUGAAAUGCGUAGAUAUCAGGAGGAACACCAGUGGCGAAGGCGGCUUACUGGACUGUAACUGACGUUGAGGCGCGAAAGCGUGGGGAGCAAACAGGAUUAGAUACCCCAGUAGUC
This 440-nucleotide ribosomal RNA is filed under the name uncultured bacterium. Its description in RNAcentral is "partial 16S ribosomal RNA". It matches the Rfam family "Bacterial small subunit ribosomal RNA", at positions 338 to 795 of the family's 1533-position model. The record is from RNAcentral.